RNAcentral lists this ribosomal RNA (600 nucleotides) under uncultured Bacteroidota bacterium. RNAcentral's name for it is "bacterial SSU rRNA". It matches the Rfam family "Bacterial small subunit ribosomal RNA", at positions 35 to 633 of the family's 1533-position model. Lineage: Bacteria; Pseudomonadati; Bacteroidota. The record is from RNAcentral.
GCUAGCGGCAGGCUUAAUACAUGCAAGUCGAACGGUAAGGUCUCUUCGGAGAUACACGAGUGGCGCACGGGUGCGUAACGCGUAUGCAACCUACCUUCAACUGGGGAAUAGCCCCGAGAAAUCGGGAUUAAUACCCCAUAACAUCCAGGAAUUGCAUAGUUUCUGGAUUAAAGCUCCGGCGGUAGAAGAUGGGCAUGCGUGGCAUUAGUUAGUUGGUGAGGUAACGGCUCACCAAGGCAACGAUGCCUAGGGGUCCUGAGAGGGUUAACCCCCACACUGGUACUGAGACACGGACCAGACUCCUACGGGAGGCAGCAGUAAGGAAUAUUGGGCAAUGGACGAAAGUCUGACCCAACCAUGCCGCGUGCAGGAUGACUGCCCUAUGGGUUGUAAACUGCUUUUGUACAGGAAAAAACUUCCGGUCGUGCACCGGGACUGAUGGUACUGUGCGAAUAAGCAUCGGCUAACUCCGUGCCAGCAGCCGCGGUAAUACGGAGGAUGCAAGCGUUAUCCGGAUUUAUUGGGUUUAAAGGGUGCGCAGGCGGAAUGGUAAGUCAGUGGUGAAAUCUUCCGGCUCAACCGGGAAACUGCCAUUGAUAC